UGAGGAAUAUUGGUCAAUGGGCGCAAGCCUGAACCAGCCAUCCCGCGUGAAGGAAGAAGGCGCUAUGCGUUGUAAACUUCUUUUCCAGGGGGAGAAUUUUUCCGUCGUGACGGGAAUUGACGGUACUCUGGGAAUAAGCAUCGGCUAACUCCGUGCCAGCAGCCGCGGUAAUACGGAGGAUGCGAGCGUUAUCCGGAUUUAUUGGGUUUAAAGGGUGCGUAGGCGGAUAGAUAAGUCAGUGGUGAAAUUCUGCAGCUUAACUGUAGACUUGACGUUGAUACUGUAAGUAUUGAGUAUGGUCAAGGCAGGCGGAAUGUGUAAUGUAGCGGUGAAAUGCUUAGAUAUUACACAGAACACCGAGUGAGAAGGCAGCUUGCUGGGCCAUUACUGACGCUGAUGCACGAAAGCGUGGGGAU
This 416-nucleotide ribosomal RNA is filed under the name uncultured bacterium. RNAcentral describes it as "bacterial SSU rRNA". It matches the Rfam family "Bacterial small subunit ribosomal RNA", at positions 355 to 768 of the family's 1533-position model. The record is from RNAcentral.